UUCCUGCCGGGGCGUUUCCGGAAUAACAGUGGCUCUGCGAGUCCAAGAAAAGUUAAAGGCUCACGUUGAAUAUAAAUCUCUGGGAUUCCUGCUGAUAGUCCAGUGGUUAAUUUUACUGCGUCGAUAUCCAAGCCAACUAUUGUUAUGAUAAUCCCCUAUGUCUUAGAGCUUGAAACAGGGUGGAGAAACAAGCUCCAAGAGGUCUCAGGCAGUGACGCUCUGCACCACGACAGGAUGGACCAGUUCAUGAGGGGAAGAUUGAUGUGAGGUGGAGACGUGAAGCCAGCAGGCACAAACUGGAAGCUGUGUGGAUGGAUGUACUAGAACCCCUGCUUGCUGCCUUGGCCUCUCGUGCUUCCAGUCCUCCAACUUCGAUGAUGAAGCUGACCUAGAGAAGAGCUGGUGCACUUUGCUGUGGAGUUUCAUCCAAACCUAAUAAGCAUUCAGAGAAGCUGAAGAAGCAGUUGAAGCUGGAGGCUGAGCUGCAGCCCUGCAAUGUCAGAAGGCAACUGAUUUCUGCAGAUCAAUAUGCGGUCAUGAAAGAACACCUCAUCCUCCGCGCCCUGGGCACAGAUUACACCAAGAAUUCUGGGCCAUGCACACACACAGAGCUGUAAUCUGAUGGAGCUGUGGCUGGAAUGACCGUGAGGAAGGUCCAGGAGACAGAGCUCACCUCCAGCCUCAUGGUCCUGGUGCGCAGGUCAGGAGCAUUCAUUCACACCGAAUGCAGGUGGGAUCUCCAUAUCGGCGUUGUUCAGAGCCCACCCUGGCCUCCAGAAAGCUUCUCAUUUCCUCGCUGCUCCCAGAGAGGAAAGAAGGACUCUUCCAUCCACUCUCUCUAUCCAAGGAGCUUCUUAGAGGUAAGAGAUGCAGUCCGAUAGUAUAUGAACUUCUGCUGGUUUUGCCCAUGUUAGGUGAAAUCUGAUGGAACAAAAAAGCCAUGCCAAGAACCGGAGAAGAACAUUCUAGGAAAGGAGAACAGGAACUAGAAAGCCCUGAGGAGAUAAUGAGCAGGGUAAGUUUUAGAAACAGGAAGGAGACCAGUGGGACGAAAACGAAUUGCAGCAAACUUUUCUUGCAAAGGGCCAGCUAGUAAGUAUUUUUAGGCUUUGAGGGUCAUUCGGUCUUGGCAACCAUCUGCUGUUUUAGCCCCUAAAAUCUUCUUGGACAUAUAUUCACACAGAUGAGCAUGGCUGUGUUCCAAUAAAACUUUAUUUAUAAACACUGAUAUUUGAAUUAUAUAUCAUUUUCACAUGUCACAAAAUAGUGUUCUUCUUUUGUUUCCAACUGUUUAAAAAUGUAAAAGCCAUUUUCAGCUCAGGGGCUGUGGAAGAACAGGCAGAGGGCCAGAUUUUGCCUGUGGGGCUGUGGUUUGCUGACCAUGGGGUAACACAUGGCGAGUGAGUGGGGGGAAAAGUAGACCCAGUUAGGGUGGGAGAGUGUGAAGUGGGCUCAGGCCAGACCCCGCACAGGGUUUUGUAGGCCAUGGAAGCAAGUACGGAUUUUAUUCUAAUUGCUGUGGGAAACACCCAAGGGGCUUUAGGCAGGAGUGUGACGUGAUCUAUUUUAAUAAUACUCUGGUACAUCUGAGUCCACAGUCGACUGUCAGGAGACAAAAGCAGAAGCAGAGGUACCAGUAAGGACCCUGCUCCAGCAGACCAGGCAGAGAUGACAGACACUGAAAUGGGAAUUAUGAGACCGACAUGCUACCUACUGCACUAACGAGGUUAGAUUCCCAAUUUCAAAGGGAGUGAGCCAUCAGGGUUAUAGGGUAUUUAAGGAGAGUGCCUGGUACAUAGUAUGUACUCAGUAUAUGCUCCUUCCCUACACUAUACUUCCCUCUUUGGUGAUAAAAAGAAUGCUAAAAUUGGUUUGGUCCCAAUCUCUCACUGCUCUCAGGAAAAUCACUCAUUCUACUAAAAAAAGGUCAGCCAACAUCAUCAAAAGUCAGUGGACACAUGCUUCAGUUUUGUUAAUGACUCCGAUGGGAUACAUGUGUGUGUAUGUAUAUUCAUAUUUUUGUUGAGCCUCAUGAAAUAGCUAAAAUUUUUCUACAGACUAAGGUUUAUCAGGAUCACUGGCUUCAGGUUUCCACUGUGGUGCAAUGGCUUAAGUAUCGGAAUGCAGUGGCUUGGAUCGCUGCAGAGGCACAGGUUCAAUCCCUAGCCUGGUACAGUGGGGUUAAAGGAUUCACGUGUUGCCGCAGCUGCAGCACAGUUCACAGCUGUGGCUUGGAUUCAA
Molecule: long non-coding RNA, 2241 nt
Filed under: Sus scrofa (pig)
Lineage: Eukaryota; Metazoa; Chordata; Mammalia; Artiodactyla; Suidae
Description: lncRNA (ENSSSCG00045001837.1)
Source: RNAcentral